Molecule: ribosomal RNA, 443 nt
Filed under: uncultured bacterium
Lineage: Bacteria
Description: partial 16S ribosomal RNA
Rfam family: Bacterial small subunit ribosomal RNA
Source: RNAcentral
CCUACGGGUGGCAGCAGUGGGGAAUAUUGGACAAUGGGCGAAAGCCUGAUGCAGCAACGCCGCGUGAAGGAAGAAGGGUUUCGGCUUGUAAACUUCUUUUAACAGGGACGAAAGACAUGACGGUACCUGAAUACUAAGCCCCGGCUAACUACGUGCCAGCAGCCGCGGUACUACGUAGGGGGCAAGCGUUAUCCGGAUUUACUGGGUGUAAAGGGUGCGUAGGCGGCAAUGUAAGUCAGAUGUGAAAGCCAUGGGCUUAACCCGUGGCUUGCAUUUGGAACUGUCGAGCUUGAGUACAGGAGAGGAAGACGGAAUUCCUAGUGUAGCGGUGAAAUGCGUAGAUAUUAGGAGGAACACCAGUGGCGAAGGCGGCUUGCUGGACAGAAACUGACGCUGAGGCGCGAAAGCGUGGGGAGCAAACAGGAUUAGAUACCCUAGUAGUC